RNAcentral lists this non-coding RNA (30 nucleotides) under Rattus norvegicus (Norway rat). Lineage: Eukaryota; Metazoa; Chordata; Mammalia; Rodentia; Muridae. The record is from RNAcentral.
UAAAUUGGCUCUUCUUCUUGGGACAAUGUG